AACUUGCAUGACAAGGCACUAGGCAAAAACUCUGUAGAAACUGAAUGGUACAAAAUUACUUUGCGAUAUAAGGGCAAGGUGCUAUUAACUGCUGGAAGCAUAUUCGGUCAGUUUGGUUAGAGGGCAGAGAUAGAGGCGCUGCACAUCAAUGUGACUCCAACGUACCACAGUCGCAAGAGUACGUGUGCCUUACUGAUGCUAAAAUGAAUCCUCCAGCUUCCUUGGCUUCUCCUGUAAAUCUGCAGCUGACUUUAUAUUGUACUGUAAACUAGACGCCUGAAAGCUCUGCAAAUGUCUGAUAAGGUUGAGAACCACAGGCAUGCAGAUUUCCUGGUGGACUUCAUGUGUCUUCUGCUGUGGGGGUGUAUGUGUGGGCAUACAUGUGUAAACACAAAUAUAAACAGAACUGCAGCUAAGAAUCAGAAAAAGUUAUGAAUUCAAAGAAUAAGAUUCACUGCAAGAGCGUUUAACAAGAGAAAUGAUCCAGUUUUGCAUAUGCAGCCUUGGACUUAACAUGUGCUUAAAGACCUCAGGAUAAUCAAAGGUGAUUUCAAGCGGAUUUUCAAAAUAACAUGAAGACAGCAUCAAAAAUCUUGCGAAGCUACUGGUCAAUAGAACAGCUUCAUUCCAAUAACCCAAUUCAGAUUCCCAAUGAAGGGAGCAAGCCCUCUAAGUGGCAUAAAUAUGGAUUUGUCUAAAGUGAUCAAAAGAGGAUGAUUCAUAUACAAUUCAGAUGUAUGAUACUCACUGGAGAAGGGACAGGUUUCUUUUUUUCAAAGCUCAGUUUUCUUUCAAUAAAGGUUGCGCUGCUGUUUUCUUUUACAAAAUUCAGCUUGUGAACCUCCUCCAUCAACUGAUUCUGCACUUCACAGAUGCUUGAGGAAGACAGCUGCAAAUACAAAGCUGCCCCUGACUAUAAAGUGCUUUGUUCAUCCCUGGGUGGAAAGGGAUUCUCCAGAAGGGCCUCAGUACAACGUGUUUCACAUGUAGAGGCUUAUCCAGAUACAGUUACUAGGCUCCAGUUCAGGUCCAGCUCUUCUCCUGUUGACCUCUGAAGGCAGCUGUUGUAGUCCAACAACUUGUCGUAGCGCUUCUGGAUGAGCUUCUGUGGGCCUGCAAACAAAGCUUGUAGUGCUGAGAGAGGAAUCAAAACAAGCUUGUCCAGUUGAGCCAUCUGGAAAUGUAACUUCAGGAGUUGUUGCAUUUCAAUGAUCCUGACCUGCUGGAUGUCCAAAACUGCGGAAGUGAUAAACUCUACCUUAAGCUUUUCAAAGAUGUCACGUUAAGCAUAGAAGUCCCUUAACCACGAGGUUUCAGAGGCUGGGUGAGUGUUCUGGCAAAGUGUUGC
This is a long non-coding RNA of Cygnus olor (mute swan), 1348 nucleotides long. RefSeq lists it as uncharacterized. The record is from RefSeq and is a predicted model, not a curated record. The transcript is spliced from 4 exons. Lineage: Eukaryota; Metazoa; Chordata; Aves; Anseriformes; Anatidae.